UUGUAACCUGCCUAGCAGUACAACACGUGAAAUGGAUCUAUAAUGGGGGGGGAGAAGUGUGGAAGCUCUUUCUCUCCUCGUUUCAGGUAGUACCUAGUAUAUCUCACCCAUUGCUUAAUGCAUUGGUGGAGUAAUUGCUGGAUACUCUUGAUAUAACAAAACCACGGCGUGAAUUGCGCCAAGGAAAUUUAUGAAAGAUAUGUCUUCCGUUGAUGUGUUAUCGCAUCAAAUUGGAGGAUUUGUUAUCUUUGUGAUGUCUUUAAUGACUCUCGGCAACGGAUAUCUCGGCUCUCGCAUCGAUGAAGAACGUAGCGAAAUGCGAUACUUGGUGUGAAUUGCAGAAUCCCGUGAACCAUCGAGUUUUUGAACGCAAGUUGCGCCCGAAGCCAUUUGGUUGAGGGCACGUCUGCCUGGGCGUCACGUACACACAUCUCGCCACUACCCAUUCCCCAAACUUAUUGGUGCAUUGAGGUGUUGGCGAGAUAUAAUAUUGGUCUCCCGUGAUGCUAUGUUGCGGUUGACCUAAAAAAGAGUACCUAGUGACUGGACGUCACGAUAAGUGGUGGUUUAAGCUAAUUGUGGUUUUUGCCGAAUCGUGUCGUGAGUGUUUGUCACUUUAAAAAGUGCUUGAGAUUGAACCCCUUACGUCU
RNAcentral lists this ribosomal RNA (650 nucleotides) under Chrysosplenium flagelliferum. RNAcentral's name for it is "eukaryotic LSU rRNA". The stretch from base 265 to 420 matches the Rfam family "5.8S ribosomal RNA". The record is from RNAcentral. Lineage: Eukaryota; Viridiplantae; Streptophyta; Magnoliopsida; Saxifragales; Saxifragaceae.